This 127-nucleotide small RNA is filed under the name Marmota monax (woodchuck). The record is from RNAcentral. Lineage: Eukaryota; Metazoa; Chordata; Mammalia; Rodentia; Sciuridae.
GCUAGGUGUUGUGGUACACGCCUGUAAUCCCAGCAGCUUGGGAAGCUGAGACAAGAGGAUCUUGAGUUCAGAGCCAGCCUCAGCAAUUUAGUGAGGUGCUGAGCAACUCAGUGAGACCCUGUCUCUA